CCUGGGUGCAGUGGCAUGCUCCUAUAGUCCCAAGUACUUGGGAGGCUAAGACAGGAGAAUCACUUGAGCCUAGGAAUUCAAGGCCAGCCUGGGCAAACUAGUGAGGCCCCAUCUCAA
Molecule: small RNA, 117 nt
Filed under: Marmota monax (woodchuck)
Lineage: Eukaryota; Metazoa; Chordata; Mammalia; Rodentia; Sciuridae
Source: RNAcentral